UUUCCUCUGACUCAGGAUUUCAAGUGUUUCCCACCCCCACAGGCCCGCAGCGGGGGUGGGACCCACAGAGUCACGCCCUGGAACGGUGUGGAGGGCUCGGAGAAGGGCUCCGGGAGCCGGGCCGGCUGAAGGCCUCAGCGAUAGCAAACCUGCACAUCAGGAGCUCCUAUUUCCGUUUCACCCGCCAGAGGAGGCCAUGAAGGUCUGGGGAAGGAGUGUGUCCAGAGUGCGCCUUCCUUCCCUGGAAGGAGACUGGAGGAUGGAAGAGCCAGAACAGAGGAGGAAAAAAGCCCUCUUAAAGAAGCCUGAACCUUGAAUGGUUCAGGGAUUUGUAUGAAAGACUACAAAGUAUCACUUUAGUUACAACCAGCCCCUCAAAGAUAUUGAGA
Molecule: long non-coding RNA, 389 nt
Organism: Lemur catta (Ring-tailed lemur)
Lineage: Eukaryota; Metazoa; Chordata; Mammalia; Primates; Lemuridae
Exons: 4
Source: RefSeq, a predicted model, not a curated record